GACGAACGCUGGCGGCGUGCUUAACACAUGCAAGUCGAACGGUAAGGCCCUUCGGGGUACACGAGUGGCGAACGGGUGAGUAACACGUGGGUGAUCUGCCCUGCACUUCGGGAUAAGCCUGGGAAACUGGGUCUAAUACCGGAUAGGACCCUGGGAUGCAUGUCCUGGGGUGGAAAGCUUUUGCGGUUUGGGAUGGGCCCGCGGCCUAUCAGCUUGUUGGUGGGGUGAUGGCCUACCAAGGCGACGACUGGUAGCCGGCCUGAGAGGGUGACCGGCCACACUGGGACGUAGAUACGGCACAGACUGGUACGGGAGGCAGAAGGGGGGAAUAUUGCACAAUGGGCGCAAGCCGGAUGCAGCGACGCCGAGUGAGGGAGGACGGCCUUCGGGUUGUAAACCUCUUUCAGCACCGACGAAGCGCAAGUGACGGUAGGUGCAGAAGAAGGACCGGCCAACUACGUGCCAGCCGCCGCCGUAA
RNAcentral lists this ribosomal RNA (478 nucleotides) under uncultured bacterium. RNAcentral's name for it is "partial 16S ribosomal RNA". It matches the Rfam family "Bacterial small subunit ribosomal RNA", at positions 28 to 523 of the family's 1533-position model. The record is from RNAcentral.